CCUACGGGAGGCAGCAGUAAGGAAUAUUGGUCAAUGGGACGAAAGUCUGAACCAGCCAUGCCGCGUGAAGGAUGAAGGCCCUCUGGGUUGUAAACUUCUUUUAUAGGGGACGAAAAAAGGGAAUUCUUUCCCACUUGACGGUACCCUAGGAAUAAGCACCGGCUAACUCCGUGCCAGCAGCCGCGGUAAUACGGAGGGUGCAAGCGUUAUCCGGAUUUACUGGGUUUAAAGGGUGCGUAGGUGGGCAGUUAAGUCAGUGGUGAAAUCUCCGAGCUUAACUCGGAAACUGCCAUUGAUACUAUCUGUCUUGAAUAUCCUGGAGGUGAGCGGAAUACGUCAUGUAGCGGUGAAAUGCUUAGAUAUGACAUAGAACACCAAUUGCGAAGGCAGCUCACUACGGGAUUAUUGACACUGAGGCACGAAAGCGUGGGGAUCAAACAGGAUUAGAUACCCUGGUAGUCCACGCCCUAAACUAUGGAUACUCGACAUCAGCGACACACUGUUGGUGUCUGGGCGAAAGCAUUAAGUAUCCACCUGGGAAGUACGAUCGCAGAUUGAACUCAAGAAUUGACGGCUGAGAGNGCGAGACGACACGAGGGAGGAGG
This 605-nucleotide ribosomal RNA is filed under the name uncultured bacterium. RNAcentral's name for it is "bacterial SSU rRNA". It matches the Rfam family "Bacterial small subunit ribosomal RNA", at positions 338 to 951 of the family's 1533-position model. The record is from RNAcentral.